RNAcentral lists this ribosomal RNA (239 nucleotides) under uncultured Actinomycetales bacterium. Its description in RNAcentral is "partial 16S ribosomal RNA". It matches the Rfam family "Bacterial small subunit ribosomal RNA", at positions 91 to 334 of the family's 1533-position model. The record is from RNAcentral. Lineage: Bacteria; Bacillati; Actinomycetota; Actinomycetes; Actinomycetales.
CCGAGUGGCGAACGGGUGAGUAACACGUGGGUGAUCUGCCCUGCACUUCGGGAUAAGCCUGGGAAACUGGGUCUAAUACCGGAUAGGAGCCAUUUUUAGUGUGAUGGUUGGAAAGUUUUUCGGUGUAGGAUGAGCUCGCGGCCUAUCAGCUUGUUGGUGGGGUAAUGGCCUACCAAGGCGGCGACGGGUAGCCGGCCUGAGAGGGUGGACGGCCACAUUGGGACUGAGAUACGGCCCAG